CGGCAGCUGCAUGUACAAGGGCUGCGCUAGUUUCAGUGCUUUCAGUUCUUGUAGCUCCUUCUGCAGUCUUCUAUUUUCAUCUGUUAGUGAUUCGCAGCACUUCUUCAAGAAUUCGCAGUCUACUUCAGUUUGCUUCAGCUUUGUCCUGUAAAUCAAUAAGGGCUACAUCAAAUUAUGGAAAACCAGACAACCUAAAGUAUUUGAGAUUUUGGAAGGGUCCAAAGUGGUAUGUAUCAUUGGCCUUUUCUUUUGGUAGAAGUACUUUUUCAGGGGUUUUUUUCUCUUGUUUUGUUUUUG
This 297-nucleotide long non-coding RNA is filed under the name Vitis vinifera (wine grape). Its description in RNAcentral is "long non-coding RNA (VVIN_LNC007902)". Lineage: Eukaryota; Viridiplantae; Streptophyta; Magnoliopsida; Vitales; Vitaceae. The record is from RNAcentral.